UUCCCUUGAAAUAAUGUUUGGCCGGUAGAGGGCAUGAGAGUCGAUUUACUGCAACGUUGCAUUAAGUCAGUCAAACUUUUUAAUUUAAUGUUGUAAUCUAAAUAUGAAAUUUAGUGUGGAAGAUAUUAUAUGUA
This is a long non-coding RNA of Haliotis rubra (blacklip abalone), 134 nucleotides long. RefSeq lists it as uncharacterized. The record is from RefSeq and is a predicted model, not a curated record. NCBI's taxonomy places the organism in Eukaryota, Metazoa, Mollusca, Gastropoda, Lepetellida, Haliotidae. The transcript has 4 exons.